This is a long non-coding RNA of Hippocampus comes (tiger tail seahorse), 639 nucleotides long. RefSeq lists it as uncharacterized. The transcript is spliced from 3 exons. The record is from RefSeq and is a predicted model, not a curated record. Lineage: Eukaryota; Metazoa; Chordata; Actinopteri; Syngnathiformes; Syngnathidae.
GAACUAUCACAAACCAAAAAUGGUUUUCAGGAAACAAGAAUCCGAGUGAAAACGGAAUUUACUGUUCCCACUGGCCGCUUUAACGAGUCGACCAUCACCGCCGCCGAACAAAGUGACUCCUGCGCCUGCCAAAGCAAAGAAGUGGAUCUGUCACUUGGAAUCAAGGUUCUUUGUACAUCAGCCUCAUCCAACUCCAUCCUGUGAUGCAGAGCCAAACUGAUACAUCUUCCUGUCUCUAAAAUGUUGGCUGUGGGCAAUUGCAUCAGGAUUAUUGGGAAGAAUGUCUGCCGCAGGCAUUUUUAUAGGGGUUAUACAUUCCUUUCAGCAAAUGAAUAAAAGAGAACUUGUCUGAGAAGAAAAGGUUUUCUCUGGAAAGGGUGACAAAUGACACACUUAAUCGUAACCCAAUCAUCUUUUUUGCAAUCUUCUCAUCUGAUGCUUCACGAAAUUAACCUUCAGAUCACCUAAACUACAUUAAAAAAAUGUUGACAUCAGCACACGGUACGGGUUACCUCAGAGUCAGUCAAACAUUUCGCUUAAUUCCGCUGAAAAUUAAACCAGCGAACAGGGUGAAAGAGUAUGUCUCUGCAUAUUGUAAGGAAUCAAUUUAAUAUUAGAGGAAAUGGGUAUUUUUUUGAC